RNAcentral lists this long non-coding RNA (634 nucleotides) under Homo sapiens (human). RNAcentral describes it as "HSALNT0337220". The record is from RNAcentral. Lineage: Eukaryota; Metazoa; Chordata; Mammalia; Primates; Hominidae.
UCAGUGUCUGCCCUAAAAGGCUUCUAAUCUAGCAGAAAGGGUGACAAAUAAAAAGGCAAUUACAAUAUAAUGUGGAGAAUGAUUAAGUGCCUGAUUCGGCUUAAAUCAGAAGAUAAGCUAAAAUGCAUUUCAAGUAUUUCAGGUUUUCAGCUGCUUCGAGAGUAGCAGACACCAAUUAGCUUCCUGACUGGCUCUGGGGUGUGGAGAGAGGCAAGUUGUGGCACCUCAGGGCACCGGAGCAGCCCUCUGUCCCCACAGGCACUCGGCAUGCUGACAGGUCUGGAAAAGGACUGUCAUACCCUAAAGAAAAGGAGGACUCAUUCGGCUGACCUUAGGGAGUAAAAUGUCCCCUGAAACCUUUUGGACCCCUAGAAGGUUCCUCAGGGGCUUCUGCUGGAAAAAAGCUGAAGAGGCAACUUGUAAACAGUUAAGUCAAGAUGCACUUAAAAAGAAAAUCUCAGAACUAGGUCAGAAUUGGACAGGGGGAAAGAACCAUCUGGAUGUGUUAUGAAGCUUUUCAGAAACUGUUUUCAUGAUUUUUAUCACCGACAUCUAUUGGAGUAAUGUUAUUUUUUUAUUUGAAUAUUUAAUUUUCAAAGUUAAAACCUGAGAAAUAGAAGCAUUUUAUCUUUCA